UACGUAGGGGGCAAGCGUUGUCCGGAAUCAUUGGGCGUAAAGAGCGUGUAGGCGGCCCGAUAAGUCCGCUGUGAAAGUCCAGGGCUCAACCCUGGGAUGCCGGUGGAUACUGUCGGGCUCGAGUCCGGAAGAGGAGUGUGGAAUUCCUGGUGUAGCGGUGAAAUGCGCAGAUAUCGGGAGGAACACCAGUAGCGAAGGCGGCUCGCUGGGCCAUACCUGACGCUGAGACGCGAAAGCGUGGGGAGCAAACAGG
Molecule: ribosomal RNA, 253 nt
Filed under: uncultured bacterium
Lineage: Bacteria
Description: partial 16S ribosomal RNA
Rfam family: Bacterial small subunit ribosomal RNA
Source: RNAcentral